UACGUAGGGGGCAAGCGUUGUCCGGAAUCAUUGGGCGUAAAGAGCGUGUAGGCGGCUCGGUAAGUCCGCUCUGAAAGCCCGGGGCUCAACCCCGGGAGGCGGGCGGAUACUGUCGGGCUAGAGUCCGGAAGAGGCGAGUGGAAUUCCUGGUGUAGGCGGGUGGAAAAUGCGCAGAUAUCAGGAGGAACACCAAUGGCGAAGGCAGCUCGCUGGGACGGUACUGACGCCUGAGACGCGAAAGCGUGGGGAGCAAACAGGAUAGAUAC
This 266-nucleotide ribosomal RNA is filed under the name uncultured bacterium. RNAcentral's name for it is "partial 16S ribosomal RNA". It matches the Rfam family "Bacterial small subunit ribosomal RNA", at positions 524 to 785 of the family's 1533-position model. The record is from RNAcentral.